RNAcentral lists this ribosomal RNA (259 nucleotides) under uncultured archaeon. RNAcentral describes it as "partial 16S ribosomal RNA". It matches the Rfam family "Archaeal small subunit ribosomal RNA", at positions 748 to 1007 of the family's 1478-position model. The record is from RNAcentral.
CAGCCGUAAACGAUGUGCGUUAGGUGUGUCGGUAACCACGUGUUACUGAUGCGCCGAAGAGAAAUCGUGAAACGCACCACCUGGGAAGUACGGUCGCAAGGCUGAAACUUAAAGGAAUUGGCGGGGGAGCACCACAACAGGUGGAGCCUGCGGUUUAAUUGGACUCAACGCCGGGAAGCUCACCGGAUAGGACAGCAGAAUGAUUGCCGGGCUGAAGACCCUGCCUGAAUCGCUGAGAGGAGGUGCAUGGCGUAGACGU